UGGGGAAUAUUGGGCAAUGGAGGCAACUCUGACCCAGCCAUGCCGCGUGGGUGACGAAGGUCUUCGGAUUGUAAAGCCCUUUCGGCGGGGACGAUGAUGACGGUACCCGCAGAAGAAGCCCCGGCUAACUUCGUGCCAGCAGCCGCGGUAAUACGAAGGGGGCUAGCGUUGUUCGGAAUUACUGGGCGUAAAGGGCGUGUAGGCGGCCCGCUAAGUCAGGUGUGAAAUUCCUGGGCUCAACCCAGGACGUGCACUUGAGACUGACAGGCUUGAGUCCGGGAGAGGAUGGUGGAACUCCCAGUGUAGAGGUGAAAUUCGUAGAUAUUGGGAAGAACACCCGUGGCGAAGGCGGCCAUCUGGACCGGUACUGACGCUAAGGCGCGACAGCGUGGGGAGCAAACA
This 402-nucleotide ribosomal RNA is filed under the name uncultured bacterium. RNAcentral's name for it is "bacterial SSU rRNA". It matches the Rfam family "Bacterial small subunit ribosomal RNA", at positions 355 to 774 of the family's 1533-position model. The record is from RNAcentral.